Apus apus (common swift) is the source of this 4108-nucleotide RNA transcript. It is a transcript of the gene named SWI/SNF related, matrix associated, actin dependent regulator of chromatin, subfamily a like 1, with no coding region annotated. Lineage: Eukaryota; Metazoa; Chordata; Aves; Apodiformes; Apodidae. The record is from RefSeq and is a predicted model, not a curated record. The transcript is spliced from 16 exons.
AAGCCCCAGGAGUAGGUGUCAGCAUCUGCUUGCUGAUGAUACUGGCCCAGCACUGGUCUGACAGCUUCGCUGUACUACUAGUUUCUUGUUUAGGAUCAGUUGCAGUAAUACUCAGUCACUAAUAAUACUGAGUUGUCAAUACAACAAGCACUUUUGGGGCAACAGAGUUGAAACUGCCUGUCUCUUUUUGCUGUUUUGUUUGGGUUUUUUUGGUAGGUUGGCCUCCGUUCCUGUAGAGAAGCAGAUGCCUCAGUGAUUAAUUCCCAGUUGCUGAAGAUGUCAUCAGGCCUUACAGAGGAACAAAAGAGAAGAAUUGAAGAGAACCGCCAGAAGGCUUUGGCUAGGAGAGCAGAGAGACUAGCAGCCCAGAGAGGUGGGCAGGUGGGGACUGCUGGACAUCAGGUGAAAGAACAGAGUCCAGGUAACUUGAAGGAAGAAAACAAUCAUGUCAGGUUUAUUAACCAGCACCAACAGAAUCCAAGCAGUCCCGUGCAGCAGAAGAGCAAUCUUCAGAAAGAUUAUCAUUGUUACACUGCAAAUCAACAAAUGGCUGGUUCACACAAAGAGAAACAAAGGAAUUGUUCAGAGGACUCAGGACAAGGAAGUGGCAUUAAGCAGUUCCCUACAACGAUCCCAAAUUCUCUGGGUUUUUCCCAAAAAGAUUAUGUGGAUGUUGGUCAUCAGGAACAUGGACAACAAGCUUUAAUUAAUCUUGGUACAUUCCAGGAGCCCAAAUGCUACUCGGCUUUCACAAACCCCUCAGAGCCAUCUCAUUCUAGAUUAAUCAAUAGCAGACACCCUGGUGGUAGUAAAGAUUUACAAAGUCAGAACAAAUCUGCCAUAAAAUAUGUUUCACCACCAAGCAGCACCAUCCCAACUGCUUCAGAAAUGCUGAUAAACACAAACAGACCAACAACAGAAAGAGAGGAGGGAGGUGGUGCCUCUCAGGCCAGUGGUAGGAUGCAGAAGCUGACCAAGUUUGUUGGUGCAGGCUCUAUCUCUGAAGCUGCCUCUUGCAAGAAAGCAAACAAUGUUAUAAAAGGAAAAUGUGUGAAAUAUGGGGAAGACAGAUUCCAGGUCGAAAUAGGGUAUAAUGCUGAACUUAUUGCUGUGUUUAAGAAGAUACCAAGCAGAAGCUAUGAUCCUACUAUAAAAAAAUGGAAUUUCAGCCUGGAAGAUUACAGCAGUUUCAUGGAAGCAGCAAAUCAACUUCCGUCAGUCAUUCUGGUACCACUGGGAGGAGAAAAUGCAGUUGGCUUGGCAUCAGGCUCUCAUUUUGUUGGCAGCAGGGCUGAUGUGAAAUCCCUCUUGAAGAUGUGUAGCAACUGGAAGAAACCUACAGCCCUUGUCAAAGGGAAGUGUGUGUUGAUCUCUCGCUUGCGGUUUGAAGUUGAUAUUGGGUAUUCUGCAGAGGUGAUUGGAGUGUUCAAACAGAUGGAUUCCAGAAAUUAUGAUAUGAACACCAGAAAGUGGAGUUUCCUGCUACAGGACUAUCCCAAACUGAUGAAAGUGUUACAGAGCCUUGUGUCAGUAGAAGUGGAGCCACUGCCUGCAGCAGUAAUACAGACCUUUGCUGCUCAAAUACAGAGAUCUACGUCGGAGACAGACAUUCCUGAUGCUGACCUUUCUGUAGUGGACUCCAAAAUUGUGACGAGCCUCAUGCCCUUUCAGCGGGAAGGCUGCAUUCUCUUCCACGGAGGUUUCCACAUUUCGCUAUUGUCUUUAGGCUGUUACACGCUGGCACCGUGGGCUCUUGGUUGUUUGGAAUGUUUUGCAAUUUUAAGAAAUGGGCGUUUGCUUCUUGCGGAUGACAUGGGCUUGGGCAAGACCAUCCAGGCCAUCUGCAUCGCUGCCUAUUACCAGCAGGAAUGGCCCUUGCUCGUGGUGACUCCUUCUUCCGUGAGGUUUACAUGGGCAGAGGCAUUUCACAGGUGGCUUCCAUCCUUGAGUCCAGGUAGCACCAAUGUCAUAGUGACUGGCAAGGACAACCUAACAGCAAGUUUGAUCAAUAUAAUCAGCUUUGACCUCCUCAGCAAGAUGGACAAGCAGCUUAAGAGCACUUUCCAAGUAGUUAUUAUUGAUGAAUCGCAUUUCCUCAAGAACAUCAAAACUGCCCGAUGCCGAGCUGCCAUGCCUCUGCUCAAGGCUGCCAAGAGAGUGAUCUUGCUGUCGGGAACGCCUGCCAUGUCACGGCCUGCAGAGCUCUACACACAGAUUGCAGCUGUCCAGCCAGCCUUCUUCCCAAAGUUCCAUUCCUUUGGGCAACGCUACUGUGAUGCCAGGAAGAUGCCGUGGGGUUGGGACUACUCUGGAUCAUCCAACUUAACUGAACUGAAAAUUUUGCUGGAAGAGUCCAUCAUGAUCCGACGUCUGAAAUCAGAUGUGCUUUCCCAGCUUCCAGCAAAGCAGCGCAAAAUGGUUGUGGUGGCUCCUGAAGGCAUUAGUGCAAAGACUAGAGCUGCCUUGGCAGCUGAAGCGAAGAAGAUGGCCAAGGGUUACCAAAGUAAACAACAGGAGAAGGAAGCUCUUCUCCUCUUCUACAACAGAACGGCAGAAGCUAAAAUCCAUUCUGUUGUAGAAUACAUCCUGGAGUUACUUGAAAGCGGGAAUGAUAAAUUCCUUGUGUUUGCUCAUCACAAGAUAGUGCUGGAUGCAAUAGUUGCAGAGCUGGAGAAGAAACACGUUGAAUACAUCCGCAUUGACGGCUCCACACCUUCAGCUGAGCGGCAGUCUCUGUGCCAAAAGUUCCAGCUCUCAGAGAAGCAGGUUGUGGCUGUCCUGUCCCUCACUGCUGCAAACAUGGGCCUGACAUUGUCUGCUGCAGAUCUGGUGGUGUUUGCAGAGCUCUUCUGGAAUCCAGGGAUUUUGAUCCAAGCAGAAGAUCGGGCACAUCGGAUUGGACAGACCAGCUCUGUUAACAUUCACUACGUGGUGGCCAAAGGCACAGCAGAUGACUACUUAUGGUAUGAAGUGAGAAGGACACUUAGGUUCUUCUGCCACCUGUUUUCACUGUUUGUUACGUGUGUGAUCUAAGGUGCUUAAUGUUAAUGCUGAUUUCCACAGCCUGUGAGGGGAGGAGCAGUGACUGCCAACCAGGACUGCUGUGAGCUGGUGACAUGGCUUGGCCACAGUGGACAUAACUAAGUGGUUGACAAACAAGAGGAAUAGAAGUAUUUAUCUGACAAAGAAAGGGCUGUUGAGAGAAAUUAUGGGAGAACUGAUGCAUCUAAAAACUUCAGCCUCUGCAUAAGGAGAAGAAAUUGUAUUAGAUACAGCCCAGAGCAUUCGUGUGCUGUGGUUCUGUAAAGUGCUGAGUACUUUCAAGCAAAGUCAACAAACACUGGACAUGGUUCAGUGUAUUGUGGAUCAGGUCUGAGGAGUAAUCUGGCUGCUGAGUGCUUGGACCAGGAGCUGUGGAUGAGGACUGCAGUGUUGCUUUCUCUUGCUUUUCAGUGAGUCCUUCAGAUGCAUUAAGGAACUUCUAAUGAGUUACCUCUGGAGGGUUGUGGUCUGAGCCUUUUUGGCUACAGUGAGAGCUAUUAUGGACACUGGUCCUUAGGGCUGGGGAAUCUGACAUCUGGGGGAAGGCAGGAUAUGAGGAAUCCUUAGUGCUGCAAGGGAACUGACCUGCAAAUGAUAAGAAGAAAUUAUCCACCAGCUGGUUUAUUUAAAGUCCUAAAUUACAUCUUUAUUACCUUGUUUAAAGGAACAAAUGAACUAAGUGAACUUGUGCACUUCCCAGAACAUCAUGAUGGCAAAUAAUUAUAACCCUACAAUGCAGGGAUCUGGAAACUGAUGCAUCACCCACAUUUCAAGGAAGGUUAAUGACAGUAAUUCUGCCUUUAUUUGUGAAAUUCUGUCCAUGCAGUCAUUAAUGCUUAAUGGGAAGAAAAUAUGGCUCUUCAGAGGACAGUGGCAUCCUUUAUAAAGGCAAGAAAAAGAACAAGAAGACAGGGCUAUUUGGGAAAUGCAUUAAUUGUGCUGUGGCCUUCUUUCAAAGUGUCCAUUCUGCAGGCGCAGUUGGGAACCUCUAGAGCCAGUGAUGGAUUCUUCCUCCUGUAGUACAUUUGGAGGCCAAUGAUUCAAGAGAAAAUCAAAGUGCUGGGGG